RNAcentral lists this ribosomal RNA (418 nucleotides) under uncultured bacterium. RNAcentral describes it as "bacterial SSU rRNA". It matches the Rfam family "Bacterial small subunit ribosomal RNA", at positions 355 to 776 of the family's 1533-position model. The record is from RNAcentral.
UAGGGAAUUUUGCGCAAUGGGGGCAACCCUGACGCAGCAACGCCAUGUGAGGGAUGAAGCACUUCGGUGUGUAAACCUCUGUCAGCAGGGACUAAACGGCCGCAAGGCCUUUGAAUGUACCUGCAAAGGAAGCCCCGGCUAACUUCGUGCCAGCAGCCGCGGUAAUACGAGGGGGGCUAGUGUUGUUCGGAAUCACUGGGCGUAAAGGGAGCGUAGGCGGGAGCCUAAGUUGGGUGUUUAAUUCCGGGGCCCAACCCCGGGCGUGCACACAAAACUGGGUUUCUUGAAUAGGGGAGAGGUCGGUGGAAUUGGAGGUGUAGCGGUGGAAUGCGUAGAGAUCUCCAAGAACACCCGUUGCGAAGGCGGCCGACUGGACCCAUAUUGACGCUGAGGCUCGAAAGCAUGGGGAGCAAACAGG